Molecule: long non-coding RNA, 360 nt
Filed under: Vitis vinifera (wine grape)
Lineage: Eukaryota; Viridiplantae; Streptophyta; Magnoliopsida; Vitales; Vitaceae
Description: long non-coding RNA (VVIN_LNC002069)
Source: RNAcentral
AAAAAUAAAUAAAUAAAUAAUUGAAGAGUAAAAAGACAAAAGGAAGUGGCAGCCAACUGGUCAGUCAGCUUUAUCAUUGUGAACUGGAAUCUACCGUAUCCCCACUUCUGGACCGUUCAAGAAGGGCCUACAAGGCAAGUCAUUCUCGUCGACACAUCUGGACCGUUCAAGGAGGGCCCACAAGGCAGGUCACGAAUGGUCAAAGAGUGGACUGAAUUCGCCAAAAUAUUACGUGGUGAGGAUCCACCAAAGUGAGUCCGACCAUAAUAAUGGAAGGGCAAAAUAGUAAAAUGGAGACGGUAUAGGGCAAAAUGGUAAAAUGGUAAAAUUGAGAGAGUAUGGCGAAGAUUUCAAUGUCUG